This 492-nucleotide ribosomal RNA is filed under the name uncultured bacterium. RNAcentral describes it as "partial 16S ribosomal RNA". It matches the Rfam family "Bacterial small subunit ribosomal RNA", at positions 29 to 507 of the family's 1533-position model. The record is from RNAcentral.
AGUGAACGCUGGCGGUAGGCCUAACACAUGCAAGUCGAACGGCAGCACAGUAAGAGCUUGCUCUUACGGGUGGCGAGUGGCGGACGGGUGAGGAAUACAUCGGAAUCUACUUUUUCGUGGGGGAUAACGUAGGGAAACUUACGCUAAUACCGCAUACGACCUACGGGUGAAAGCAGGGGAUCUUCGGACCUUGCGCGAUUGAAUGAGCCGAUGUCGGAUUAGCUAGUUGGCGGGGUAAAGGCCCACCAAGGCGACGAUCCGUAGCCGGUCUGAGAGGAUGGUAGGCGACACGGGAACGUAGACACUGUCCAGACUCCUACGGGAGGCAGCAGGAGGGAAUCUUCGGCGAGGGGCGAAAGCCUGACGGAGCAACGCCGCGUGAGUGAUGAAGGACGUCGGAUCGUAAAACCCGGUUAUUAGGGAAGACAAGAUGUGUAAGUAACUGUGCACAUAGUGACGGUACCUAAUCAGAAAGCAACGGCUAACUACGGG